This 1241-nucleotide ribosomal RNA is filed under the name metagenome. Its description in RNAcentral is "bacterial LSU rRNA". It matches the Rfam family "Bacterial large subunit ribosomal RNA", at positions 1564 to 2815 of the family's 2925-position model. The record is from RNAcentral.
UGAUGACGAGACGCUAAGGCGUUGAAGCAGUGUAUGUCAGACUUCCAAGAAAAGCUCGCAAUGUCACAAAUAAAAAUGCCUGUACCAUAACCGACACAGGUGGGUAGGUAGAGUAUACUAAGGGGCGCGAGAUAACUCUCUCUAAGGAACUCGGCAAAAUGACUCCGUAACUUCGGGAGAAGGAGUGCCUUAUUUAUAAGGUUGCAAUAACAAGAUCCAAGCAACUGUUUAUCAAAAACACAGGUCUCCGCUAAGUCGUAAGACGAUGUAUGGGGGCUGACGCCUGCCCAGUGCCAGAAGGUUAAAGAAGUUGGUUAGUGUAUGCGAAGCUGAUGACUGAAGCCCUGGUGAACGGCGGCCGUAACUAUAACGGUCCUAAGGUAGCGAGAUUCCUUGUCGGGUAAGUUCCGACCCGCACGAAAGGCGUAAUGAUUUGGAUACUGUCUCGGAGAGAGGCUCGGUGAAAUAGACUUGUCUGUGAAGAUGCGGACUACCUGCACCAGGACAGAAAGACCCUAUGAAGCUUUACUGUAACUUGAAAUUGGAAUUGGACUUUGCUUGCGCAGUAUAGGUGGGAAGCGUUGAAAAUAUUCUUGCGGGAGUAUUGGAGCUAUCAGUGAGAUACCACUCUUGUAAUGUUAGAUUUCUAACUUUGAACCAUAAUCUGGUCAAAGAACAGUUUCAGGUGGGCAGUUUGACUGGGGUGGUCGCCUCCCAAAUGGUAACGGAGGCGUACAAAGGUUUCCUCUGAACGGAUAGAAAUCGUAUCUAGAGUGUAAAGGCAUAAGGAAGCUUGACUGUGAGACCUACAAGUCGAGCAGGGACGAAAGUCGGUCUUAGUGAUCUGACGGUACUGAGUGGAAAGGCCGUCACUCAACGGAUAAAAGUUACUCUAGGGAUAACAGGCUGAUCUCCCCCAAGAGUUCACAUCGACGGGGAGGUUUGGCACCUCGAUGUCGGCUCAUCGCAUCCUGGGGCGGUAGUACGUCCCAAGGGUUGGGCUGUUCGCCCAUGAAAGCGGUACGCGAGCUGGGUUCAGAACGUCGUGAGACAGUUCGGUCCAUAUCCGGUGUAGGCGCUAGAAUAUUGAGAGGAGCCUUCUUUAGUACGAGAGGACCGAGAAGGACACACCGCUGGUGUACCAGUUAUCGUGCCAACGGUAAACGCUGGGUAGCUAUGUGUGGAGUGGAUAACCGCUGAAAGCAUCUAAGUGGGAAGCCCACCUCGAGAUGAGUAUUCCC